GGUGGAUGCCUUGGCACCAGGAGCCGAUGAAAGACGUAGGAGGCUGCGAUAAGCCUCGGGGAGCUGUC
This 68-nucleotide ribosomal RNA is filed under the name Nocardia cyriacigeorgica. RNAcentral describes it as "partial 23S ribosomal RNA". The record is from RNAcentral. Lineage: Bacteria; Bacillati; Actinomycetota; Actinomycetes; Mycobacteriales; Nocardiaceae.